This is a long non-coding RNA of Protopterus annectens (West African lungfish), 830 nucleotides long. RefSeq lists it as uncharacterized. The transcript has 2 exons. The record is from RefSeq and is a predicted model, not a curated record. Lineage: Eukaryota; Metazoa; Chordata; Ceratodontiformes; Protopteridae.
GGUUAGAAAUAACAGUCAGAAGUGCCGGAGCUUGUCCGCAUCUUCCACAGAGCAAGAUGGCCAGAAGACUGUUUCUUUUGCUGUUUCUCCAGCUUCUGAAGUUGAAAAUGCCAACCAAGUAGUAACUACGAACAAUGGUCGGUCCUUUCAGUCUAACCAGACAAAUCGUGGGAGAGUAGGAAGAAAGGGAAGAAACCACUUUAAGUAAUGGACUUUUUAGUGUUAAUUAUUCUCAGUGUGGCAUAUCUAGUCACCCAGCAGUGUGAACAUUGGCUCUAGGUAUGGUCACUGAUGAAGUACCUCCAUGACCCAAGGUGCAAAAUGGGAAAAAGAGUGUUGAUGCUGAUGCCAAUGUGAGCACCUGUAACAUGGAAACAAGCCUUGCCAUUGACCAGUAUGUUUAUUUUGUGAAGAAUGAUGCUCUUUGUAACAUGUCAUUUCAGGUUAUGAGGUCAUUUAUAUCUAAAAAUUGUGUUUUGUGGAGUAAGCUAUUUGGAGUAUCAAAAGAGCAUAAGAUUAUCCAUUUCUUAAUCUUUUUAACAGUAUUAUCAGUAAUCUUUUUAAUAGUAUUAGAAUGUAUAUUAAAGUAAUAAGUAAAUGAAGAGGUUAUUAUAUUAUUAUUGAAAUGAACGCUGUCUGACCAGCAAUACCUGACUCAAAAAUUACUUCAGAAAAAUGGUUUAUUACGAGUGCUCCAUUUAUCAUAUUCAUCCUUAAUAUGAGUUAAUUGCAAGAUAUCAUGGCCUGUAUUAAUUCUAAGAUGUCAUAACCUCUGCAAGCUUGUGUUUUGUUUUGAUAUUUUAAUAAAGUUCUUAUCUGUGGUUUCCUGA